CGCACCUUGCACCCUUUGGUAUUCCGAAGGGUAUGCCUGUUUGAGUGUCAUUAAAUUCUCAAAAUCAUUAUGGUUUUGGAUAUGAGGAUUGCUGGCUUUAUUGUCGGCUUCCUUUAAAUGCAUGAGUGGCUUUGCCUGCAUAUUAUAAGAUUGUAAUCUGCAUCUUUUAAUUGCACUGACUUGCUGCUAUCUAACUGUUUCCUUUGAAACAAUUUGAACCAUUUGACCUCAAAUCAGGUAGGACUACCCGCUGAACUUAA
RNAcentral lists this unclassified non-coding RNA (260 nucleotides) under Mycena sp. RNAcentral describes it as "partial contains 5.8S ribosomal RNA, internal transcribed spacer 2, and large subunit ribosomal RNA". The record is from RNAcentral. Lineage: Eukaryota; Fungi; Basidiomycota; Agaricomycetes; Agaricales; Mycenaceae.